RNAcentral lists this long non-coding RNA (246 nucleotides) under Vigna radiata. Its description in RNAcentral is "long non-coding RNA (VRAD_LNC005271)". Lineage: Eukaryota; Viridiplantae; Streptophyta; Magnoliopsida; Fabales; Fabaceae. The record is from RNAcentral.
UGAAACUAGAUGAAAAUAAUGAAAGAAUAGAAGAAAUAACCCUAAACUUGGUUGAAUGGAGCCUAAGCAUCCAAGGAACCUCCUCCAAGGUGUGUGGAAUAGCUCUGGAUGUUCUCUCCGCCAAAAGAAUCCCUAUCUAAUUUGCACUGGGGCUAUUUAUAAGCCCAAAAAGAUAACAAAUAGAUAACAGGAAGAUUUACAGAAUCUAGCUAAAAAAAACAGACAACCGCCCAGGCGCCUAAUUUG